This 1091-nucleotide unclassified non-coding RNA is filed under the name Hevea brasiliensis (rubber tree). Lineage: Eukaryota; Viridiplantae; Streptophyta; Magnoliopsida; Malpighiales; Euphorbiaceae. The record is from RNAcentral.
AACUCCAGAUUUUACACAAUUUCAUAAUAUGAAAUUAUGAAUGAGAGGACCUUAUAUCAAGACAACUAACAACCUUUCACAUCAUAUGCUAGAUUUUUAACUUUUAUGUAUUGAUUCCAGUAUCAGAGAAACAAAAUUUUACCAAAUACAGAAGUUCACAUCCUUGUUUUGUGAUUAUGUUACCAACGUAAUCAUUUUAAUAUGCCCAAACAUGAAUGAGUAUACCCAUAUCUAAAGAAAAAGUUGCAUAUUUCACAUCUCACACUAAUUUGUUGAUUUUGUCAACUUUCAUGUAUUGAUUCAAACAUUAGAGAAAUGAAAUUUACCCAAAAUUUAAACUUCAAAAUAUUGCUUUAUGAAGCCAUUAUAAAAUGAAUUUGUUCAAAAGAUACCAUAAUAACAUUUAAGCACCUUUAUUUAGCAGAUAUAUACAACAUGCAAACAAUAGAGAGAGUAUCUAGUGCCAUAUAUGUAUACAUAGACACAUGUACACACAAAUGUCUAAACAUAUACCAUAGAAUGACAAAUAUGCAUGGAAGUGUAUAUGCAUAUAUAACUGACCACAGUUUCUUAUCAGGUUCAUUUUGAUUUCAGUUUUUAAACUUGAGUGCUUGCAAAUGCAUGGUUCUUUUCAUCCACCUAUGCCUAAUCAUGCAUUAAUUUUUAUGCUUAAGCUCAGCAAUCAAUUUCUGUUAUCUCCACAUGCAUAUUUCCAUUAUUCCAAUGCAAAAAAAGCAUCCCUCCAUAGUCGCAGACAAAGAGCUAAAAAAAAGAGGUUUAAAAGGCCCAAGAAACCUAGAAUUGUGGUCUAGGUUUCACAUAAGCUUGUUUGGGACAUUAUUGAGCAUCUUCUACUCUUUCUAGUCUUUAUUUACGAGUAAUUUUUCUACUAUUUAUAGUCCAUAUUUCAGUAAAUUAGCUGCUGGUCCAACUUUUAAAUCUUAGGAGCACUGUUGUAAUUUCAGGAUUUGCCAGAAAACGAGAUUUAUUUUUUAGUUUUAUUGUCAAGUUUAGGAACAAUUUAAGUAAGGUUAGAAGAAAAAGUGUAGCUCGAACAAAGUGGUGGAAGUUUAAAGGAGUAAAGCAAGUGA